RNAcentral lists this non-coding RNA (29 nucleotides) under Mus musculus (house mouse). Lineage: Eukaryota; Metazoa; Chordata; Mammalia; Rodentia; Muridae. The record is from RNAcentral.
UUCUAGAAGUUUUCUCUGAACAUGAGCAC